This is a long non-coding RNA of Cuculus canorus (common cuckoo), 329 nucleotides long. RefSeq lists it as uncharacterized. The record is from RefSeq and is a predicted model, not a curated record. The transcript is spliced from 3 exons. Lineage: Eukaryota; Metazoa; Chordata; Aves; Cuculiformes; Cuculidae.
UUUUAAGCAAGAAUCCCUGAAGUAGAGUUUGGCACUUAAACCAGAGCUCCAUAACAGGAGCAAUGCCUUUCUGUGACUCGAGUGCAGUAGUAUUGUUUAGUGUGUGUCUGAAUAGAGAAGACCUCAGACAAAAAGGAGUGAAAAUUCAGGAGGCUAACCCUGCUUGCUGUUGAAUGGAGGUGGAAAUAUGGACCAUCACUACAUUUUAUGAAUAUUGCUGAGAAGGACCAUAAUGGAAAGCAACAGUGAAAAAUCACAGGUUGGCAAAAGUUGUGGCAACACCUUUAAGAGCUGAAAAAUAUCUGUCCAAAAGAUAGAAGUAUGUGAGG